This 409-nucleotide ribosomal RNA is filed under the name uncultured bacterium. RNAcentral's name for it is "bacterial SSU rRNA". It matches the Rfam family "Bacterial small subunit ribosomal RNA", at positions 355 to 776 of the family's 1533-position model. The record is from RNAcentral.
UGGGGAAUAUUGCACAAUGGGCGCAAGCCUGAUGCAGCAACGCCGCGUGAGGGAUGAAGGCCUUCGGGUUGUAAACCUCUUUUAGCAGGGAAGAAGCGAAAGUGACGGUACCUGCAGAAAAAGCGCCGGCUAACUACGUGCCAGCAGCCGCGGUAAUACGUAGGGCGCAAGCGUUGUCCGGAAUUAUUGGGCGUAAAGAGCUCGUAGGCGGUUUGUCGCGUCUGCUGUGAAAAUCCGAGGCUCAACCUCGGACCUGCAGUGGGUACGGGCAAACUAGAGUGCGGUAGGGGAGAUUGGAAUUCCUGGUGUAGCGGUGGAAUGCGCAGAUAUCAGGAGGAACACCAAUGGCGAAGGCAGAUCUCUGGGCCGUAACUGACGCUGAGGAGCGAAAGCGUGGGGAGCGAACAGG